Long non-coding RNA from Ahaetulla prasina, 543 nucleotides. RefSeq lists it as uncharacterized. The record is from RefSeq and is a predicted model, not a curated record. The transcript is spliced from 4 exons. NCBI's taxonomy places the organism in Eukaryota, Metazoa, Chordata, Lepidosauria, Squamata, Colubridae.
CCGCAAGCGAACGAAGCGAGUAGUGAAGACUAUAAGAUGCACCAGUGUAUAAGAUGCACCAAGAUUUCAAAGAGGACUAAGGAUCUAAUCCACUGAUUAUCUUCACUGGACUCCUCUGAACUUGUCUGAAUCUUAUCUGAAUCUUUCUGAAAAUGCCAAAACUUGUCAGGCACAAUUAAUCAGAUCCAUACAUGAAGAAUUAAAUUAUUUUAUUGAUCAAGCCUAUAAGACAAGAAUCUUCUCAGACUGAUAAUUUGGGCAUUUUCCCACAGAUGCAAGAGUUGAUCCAUUGGUUGCAACAGGACUUCACUGAUCAACUAACUUCUCAACCAAGUCUGACAUGAUGGGCUGAAAGAAAGUGACUGGCUAAAGUCACCCAGUAGGACUAGAACUCACAGGCUUCUGGUUUCUAGACUGAAUUGGAUGUCUGUUUUCAGAUAUACUAUUACUAAGCCAUAAUUCCCCAUCUAUAACUGUGCACAUUCUGUUUCUGUUUCAUAAGGGGAAAACUUCCCAUUUGUGUUGGAUAAAAAUCGUGUUGUA